Molecule: ribosomal RNA, 527 nt
Filed under: Bifidobacterium longum subsp. infantis
Lineage: Bacteria; Bacillati; Actinomycetota; Actinomycetes; Bifidobacteriales; Bifidobacteriaceae
Also listed under: 1 other name
Description: bacterial SSU rRNA
Rfam family: Bacterial small subunit ribosomal RNA
Source: RNAcentral
GGGUGGUAAUGCCGGAUGUUCCAGUUGAUCGCAUGGUCUUCUGGGAAAGCUUUCGCGGUAUGGGAUGGGGUCGCGUCCUAUCAGCUUGACGGCGGGGUAACGGCCCACCGUGGCUUCGACGGGUAGCCGGCCUGAGAGGGCGACCGGCCACAUUGGGACUGAGAUACGGCCCAGACUCCUACGGGAGGCAGCAGUGGGGAAUAUUGCACAAUGGGCGCAAGCCUGAUGCAGCGACGCCGCGUGAGGGAUGGAGGCCUUCGGGUUGUAAACCUCUUUUAUCGGGGAGCAAGCGUGAGUGAGUUUACCCGUUGAAUAAGCACCGGCUAACUACGUGCCAGCAGCCGCGGUAAUACGUAGGGUGCAAGCGUUAUCCGGAAUUAUUGGGCGUAAAGGGCUCGUAGGCGGUUCGUCGCGUCCGGUGUGAAAGUCCAUCGCUUAACGGUGGAUCCGCGCCGGGUACGGGCGGGCUUGAGUGCGGUAGGGGAGACUGGAAUUCCCGGUGUAACGGUGGAAUGUGUAGAUAUCGG